UCAAGUUAUUAAGGGUGCAGGGCGAAUGCCUUGGCACUAGGAGCCGAUGAAGGACGUGAUAAGCUGCGAUAAGCUUCGGGGAGUUGCACGUAAACUUUGAUCCGAAGAUUUCCGAAUGAGGAAACUCACUUAGAGUAAUGUCUAAGUAUCGUUAAGUGAAUACAUAGCUUAGCGAGGGGAACCCGGGGAACUGAAACAUCUAAGUACCCGGAGGAAGAGAAAGAAAUUCGAUUCCGUAAGUAGCGGCGAGCGAACGCGGAACAGGCCAAACCAGUGAAGUUUUCUUCGCUGGGGUUGCGGACAUAUCAUAACGAAGAGGUAUCGUAGAAGAAGAGAGUUGGAAAGCUCCGCCACAGAUGGUAACAGCCCAGUAUUUUAAACGAGAAGACUUUAGAUAUGAUCCAGAGUACCACGGGACACGUGAAACCCUGUGGGAAGCAGGAGGGACCAUCCUCCAAGCCUAAAUACUACCUAGUGACCGAUAGCGCAUAGUACCGUGAGGGAAAGGUGAAAAGAACCCCGGGAGGGGAGUGAAAGAGAACCUGAAACCCUGCACUUACAAGCUGUAGGAGCACAUUAUUUGUGUGACUGCGUACUUUUUGUAGAACGGGCCAACGAGUUACGUUGUGUAGCAAGGUUAAGCACUUAAGGUGUGGAGCCGUAGCGAAAGCGAGUCUUAAAUGGGCGUCCAGUUACCCGACGUAGACCCGAAACCAGGCGACCUAUCCAUGAGCAGGUUGAAGCGAAAGUAAAAUUUCGUGGAGGACCGAACCCACGUACGUUGAAAAGUGCGGGGAUGACUUGUGGAUAGCGGAGAAAUUCCAAUCGAACCUGGAGAUAGCUGGUUCUCCCCGAAAUAGCUUUAGGGCUAGCCUCAAGCUUAGAGAAACGGAGGUAGAGCACUGAAUGUCCUAGGGGGUAUUGCACUUACCGAAGACUAUCAAACUCCGAAUGCCGUUUUCUUUUACUUGGGAGUCAGACUAUGGGUGAUAAGAUUCAUAGUCAAAAGGGCAACAGCCCAGAUCGUCAGCUAAGGUCCCUAAAUGUAAGUUAAGUGGUAAAGGAUGUGGAAUUGCACAGACAACCAGGAUGUUGGCUUAGAAGCAGCCACUCAUUUAAAGAGUGCGUAAUAGCUCACUGGUCGAGUGAUCCUGCGCCGAAAAUUUCCGGGGCUAAAACGUACUACCGAAGCUACGGCAUCAUUUAUGAUGGGUAGGGGAGCUUCGUAUGCAGGCUGAAGCAUGACCGUAAGGACAUGUGGACUGCAUAGAAGUGAGAAUGUUGGCAUGAGUAGCGAGAUGUGGGUGAGAAUCCCACAGGCCGUAAACCCAAGGUUUCCAGGGGAAGGUUCGUCCGCCCUGGGUUAGUCAGGACCUAAGCCGAGGCCGAAAGGCGUAGGCGAUGGACAACAGGUUGAUAUUCCUGUACCACCAAUAACCGUUUGAGAAAUGGGAUGACACAGUAGGAUAAGCUAACCGCACUGUUGGUUAUGUGCGGGCAAGUAUUGAGGCAGUUCCGAUAGGCAAAUCCGUCGGAAUAAUGCUGGGGUACGAUGCGGAGCGAAAUUUAGUAGCGAAGUAGCUGAUUUCACACUGUCGAGAAAAGUCUCUAUCGAGGUUAAAGGUGCCUGUACCGCAAACCGACACAGGUGGGUGAGGAGAGUAUCCUAAGGCCAGCCAGAGAACUGUUGUUAAGGAACUCGGCAAAAUGACCCCGUAACUUAGGGAGAAGGGGUGCCUUCGAAAGAAGGCCGCAGAGAAUAGGCCCAAGCGACUGUUUACCAAAAACAUAGGUUUCUGCUAAGUCGCAAGACGAUGUAUAGGAGCUGACGCCUGCCCGGUGCUGGAAGGUUAAGGGGAUCUGUUAGAGCAAUCGAAGCAGUGAACUUAAGCCCCAGUAAACGGCGGCCGUAACUAUAACGGUCCUAAGGUAGCGAAAUUCCUUGUCGGGUAAGUUCC
RNAcentral lists this ribosomal RNA (1958 nucleotides) under human gut metagenome. Its description in RNAcentral is "bacterial LSU rRNA". It matches the Rfam family "Bacterial large subunit ribosomal RNA", at positions 3 to 1984 of the family's 2925-position model. The record is from RNAcentral.